RNAcentral lists this ribosomal RNA (424 nucleotides) under Lissachatina fulica (giant African snail). RNAcentral describes it as "partial 16S ribosomal RNA". It matches the Rfam family "Bacterial large subunit ribosomal RNA", at positions 1928 to 2617 of the family's 2925-position model. Lineage: Eukaryota; Metazoa; Mollusca; Gastropoda; Stylommatophora; Achatinidae. The record is from RNAcentral.
CGGCCGCAGUACCUUGACUGUGCAAAGGUAGCAUAAUAAUUUGUCCUCUAAUUAAGGUCUGGAAUGAAGGGGGACACAGGGGAGAGCUGUCUCCAAUAAGGUUAAUUUAACUUUCUUAUCAGGUGAAAAUUCCUGAGCCUCCGAUGAAAGACGAGAAGACCCUUAGAGUUUUUAUUAUAACUUGAUAUGUUAAGAUUCUUGUUCUGUUUUUGUUGGGGCGACAGGGUUACAAUAGAUAACUUACCCUACCAUAUUUUUAUAUGGCGAUCAUUAUACUUUUAAUUAAGCUACCUAAGGGAUAACAGCGUAAUCUUUUUUUUUUGGUUUGCGACCCCGAUGUUGGACUAGGGGCCUACUGGUUAGUUACCAUUAUGGGGCGGUUCUGUUCGAACUUUUCCUACCCUACGUGAUCUGAGUUCAGACC